Molecule: ribosomal RNA, 245 nt
Filed under: uncultured bacterium
Lineage: Bacteria
Description: partial 16S ribosomal RNA
Rfam family: Bacterial small subunit ribosomal RNA
Source: RNAcentral
UACGUAGGGUGCAAGCGUUAAUCGGAAUACUGGGCGUAAAGCGUGCGCAGGCGGUGAUGUAAGACAGUUGUGAAAUCCCCGGGCUCAACCUGGGAACUGCAUCUGUGACUGCAUCGCUGGAGUACGGUAGAGGGGGAUGGAAUUCCGCGUGUAGCAGUGAAAUGCGUAGAGAUGUGGAGGAAUACCGAUGGCGAAGGCAGCCCCCUGGGAUAACACUGACGCUCAUGCACGAAAGCGUGGGGAGC